Molecule: ribosomal RNA, 1563 nt
Filed under: Lactobacillus sp. rennanqilfy14
Lineage: Bacteria; Bacillati; Bacillota; Bacilli; Lactobacillales; Lactobacillaceae
Description: bacterial SSU rRNA
Rfam family: Bacterial small subunit ribosomal RNA
Source: RNAcentral
AGAGUUUGAUCCUGGCUCAGGAUGAACGCUGGCGGCGUGCCUAAUACAUGCAAGUCGAACGAGUUCUCGUUGAUGAUCGGUGCUUGCACCGAGAUUCAACAUGGAACGAGUGGCGGACGGGUGAGUAACACGUGGGUAACCUGCCCUUAAGUGGGGGAUAACAUUUGGAAACAGAUGCUAAUACCGCAUAGAUCCAAGAACCGCAUGGUUCUUGGCUGAAAGAUGGCGUAAGCUAUCGCUUUUGGAUGGACCCGCGGCGUAUUAGCUAGUUGGUGAGGUAAUGGCUCACCAAGGCGAUGAUACGUAGCCGAACUGAGAGGUUGAUCGGCCACAUUGGGACUGAGACACGGCCCAAACUCCUACGGGAGGCAGCAGUAGGGAAUCUUCCACAAUGGACGCAAGUCUGAUGGAGCAACGCCGCGUGAGUGAAGAAGGCUUUCGGGUCGUAAAACUCUGUUGUUGGAGAAGAAUGGUCGGCAGAGUAACUGUUGUCGGCGUGACGGUAUCCAACCAGAAAGCCACGGCUAACUACGUGCCAGCAGCCCGCGGUAAUACGUAGGUGGCAAGCGUUAUCCGGAUUUAUUGGGCGUAAAGCGAGCGCAGGCGGUUUUUUAAGUCUGAUGUGAAAGCCCUCGGCUUAACCGAGGAAGCGCAUCGGAAACUGGGAAACUUGAGUGCAGAAGAGGACAGUGGAACUCCAUGUGUAGCGGUGAAAUGCGUAGAUAUAUGGAAGAACACCAGUGGCGAAGGCGGCUGUCUGGUCUGUAACUGACGCUGAGGCUCGAAAGCAUGGGUAGCGAACAGGAUUAGAUACCCUGGUAGUCCAUGCCGUAAACGAUGAAUGCUAGGUGUUGGAGGGUUUCCGCCCUUCAGUGCCGCAGCUAACGCAUUAAGCAUUCCGCCUGGGGAGUACGACCGCAAGGUUGAAACUCAAAGGAAUUGACGGGGGCCCGCACAAGCGGUGGAGCAUGUGGUUUAAUUCGAAGCAACGCGAAGAACCUUACCAGGUCUUGACAUCUUUUGAUCACCUGAGAGAUCAGGUUUCCCCUUCGGGGGCAAAAUGACAGGUGGUGCAUGGUUGUCGUCAGCUCGUGUCGUGAGAUGUUGGGUUAAGUCCCGCAACGAGCGCAACCCUUAUGACUAGUUGCCAGCAUUUAGUUGGGCACUCUAGUAAGACUGCCGGUGACAAACCGGAGGAAGGUGGGGAUGACGUCAAAUCAUCAUGCCCCUUAUGACCUGGGCUACACACGUGCUACAAUGGAUGGUACAACGAGUUGCGAGACCGCGAGGUCAAGCUAAUCUCUUAAAGCCAUUCUCAGUUCGGACUGUAGGCUGCAACUCGCCUACACGAAGUCGGAAUCGCUAGUAAUCGCGGAUCAGCACGCCGCGGUGAAUACGUUCCCGGGCCUUGUACACACCGCCCGUCACACCAUGAGAGUUUGUAACACCCGAAGCCGGUGGCGUAACCCUUUUAGGGAGCGAGCCGUCUAAGGUGGGACAAAUGAUUAGGGUGAAGUCGUAACAAGGUAGCCGUAGGAGAACCUGCGGCUGGAUCACCUCCUU